Long non-coding RNA from Vicia villosa (hairy vetch), 414 nucleotides. RefSeq lists it as uncharacterized. The transcript has 2 exons. The record is from RefSeq and is a predicted model, not a curated record. Lineage: Eukaryota; Viridiplantae; Streptophyta; Magnoliopsida; Fabales; Fabaceae.
UUUUUGAUAUGAAUGGCAAUGGCUUCAAAUAAUCUCAAGAAUUGUUUAUUGAGUUAUUUGUUUUCCCCUUAAUAUACUAACCCAUAUUUACUUUUCUAUUUUUUUAUAGGCAGGUGGAGAAGGAUCACUUCAUUCUGAAGGAUGUGAGAAGGAAUGUGAGAAUCGUUGCUCAACAGCUAAGGACAAGGAAGCAUGUCUAAACUAUUGUAAAAUUUCUUGUGGUGGAAAAUGUUUUUGUGUUCCAUCUGGAACAUCUGGUCAUAAGGAAGAAUGUCCAUGCUACAACAACUAGAAAACUAAGAGAGGAACACCCAAAUGUCCCUAGUUUCUGUAUUGUUCCUGCAUGCAUAAAUCUCAAUCAAAGCAAUUUAUGUUUCUUGAUUAAUAAUAAAAAAACAGUACUUAUAUGUUGAA